GUUUAAAAAAUGUCGGAAAAAAUGAUGAGACGGUUUGAGAUGAUGAUUGAGAAUAUGGAAAAUAAGAUGGAUAGGAUUGAUUCGAAAUUGGCUAAGUUGCAUAGAGAUCAACGUGAUGAGGUGCAAAAUGUUAGGAGACGGGGGCCUAGAAUUAAAAUGUGUGAUGCAUAUGGAUAUGGAUGUGGUAUUGAUGAGGUACGGGGAUUGAGGAAUAAAUAUGAUAGGUUCGAAGGAAGGGAUAUGAGAGAUCGGCGUGAACGGGAGUUUAGGGAGAUGCCUAGGAAAUAUUAUGGGGAUUAUCCAGUGGAGAAGAAAACAUCUUUUGCUAAGUGUGCGGGUAGUACAUCAAGUAAGAGUGUUGGGUUGGAUUAUAAACAGGAAUUCUCCGAGAUUCUCGACAUUCUUAGGUCUCAAAUUAAUCAUCCGAAGGAACGGAAGGAGCAAGAGAGUAAAAGAGAAAUUAAUGGAGUGGUUGAUUGUGAGAAAAAAGAAUAUGAGCCACAAGAAAGUGAAAGGGAUGAAGUGGUUAAAAUAGAAGUGGAGUCAUGGAUGAAAAUGAAGUAGAGUCUUUGGAGAUCGAAAAGGAGUUGGGAGUGAACUUGCAUGAAAAGGAAGUUAAAAUUGAGGAGGCAUUGGCGAACACUAACAUUUCCCUCCCUAGUUUAGAUAAAUUUGUUUUGCAGGUUCACGACGACUUGAUUCCAAAAAUUAAUUCAAUUAGAAUCCCUUACAUCCCGGGCAUUAAUUACCAAAUGGUGGAUACAAUUCAACAACAACCACAUCCUAGUUGGACAUCACUAUUUUACCGAAGAUUGAUUUUGUUAUCCCUAAGGAGACGAAAGAAUUUCAAAAGCAAUGGAAGGAAUUAAUAUACAAGGAGUUGAGCUACAAAGUCGAUAUGUUGGGAAACAUGCAUCCGGUGGAAGUAAUAUUGUCAACAUCACCUGGGCCGAGUAAAGCAUGGAAAAUGAACAGUGAUUUAUCAGUUGAAAUUAUUCUUGGAGCAUCACAAAAUGGCAAAAAGAAACCGUCAAGGCAUACACACUUUGAUCUGUGUAAGGGUGAUUGGGUCUAUAUUCAAAAGAGGAGAGUUUGAUGUCAAAAG
Molecule: long non-coding RNA, 1105 nt
Filed under: Olea europaea subsp. europaea
Lineage: Eukaryota; Viridiplantae; Streptophyta; Magnoliopsida; Lamiales; Oleaceae
Source: RNAcentral